Molecule: long non-coding RNA, 433 nt
Organism: Stylophora pistillata
Lineage: Eukaryota; Metazoa; Cnidaria; Anthozoa; Scleractinia; Pocilloporidae
Source: RefSeq, a predicted model, not a curated record
AUCGGAUGAACAAUUUUUUUGCAUUUCUGCGUGGAGUGGCCUUGCACUGAACGCCAAACUUCUAAACUGCAGUUUUUCUCGCCAAUUUUCUCGACAUCGUUCAAAACUUUUGAUGAACGUCAAACGGGGUUAGAUUUUCUUGCCGUUUCGUUUACUCGAGUUUGAAAUUUGGGUUUUUUUCUGGCCAACUAAAAAGCGAUAUUUACAGGAGGAGGAACAAGCAACAUGUCUUGUGAAGAUAUAACAAAGCACAAUGGAGCUGAAGAACCAAAGAAGCAAAACAAGUCUUCACAUGGAAACGAGUGGAUUUAUGGAGAAAUUUUAAAUGGUGAAUUGCAGAAAAACGCCUUCAUAGGAAUGUCUUACGGACCACCGCCGAAGAAACUGAAAACUGAGGGCGAAGAGGAAAAACAAAUAGAACAGGAUCGAUCCA